Molecule: ribosomal RNA, 226 nt
Filed under: Bacillus cereus
Lineage: Bacteria; Bacillati; Bacillota; Bacilli; Caryophanales; Bacillaceae
Description: partial 16S ribosomal RNA
Rfam family: Bacterial small subunit ribosomal RNA
Source: RNAcentral
UUAUUGGAGAGUUUGAUCCUGGCUCAGGAUGAACGCUGGCGGCGUGCCUAAUACAUGCAAGUCGAGCGAAUGGAUUAAGAGCUUGCUCUUAUGAAGUUAGCGGCGGACGGGUGAGUAACACGUGGGUAACCUGCCCAUAAGACUGGGAUAACUCCGGGAAACCGGGGCUAAUACCGGAUAACAUUUUGAACCGCAUGGUUCGAAAUUGAAAGGCGGCUUCGUCUGU